AACGCACAUUGCGCCCCGUGGUAUUCCGCGGGGCAUGCCUGUUCGAGCGUCAUUUCACCACUCGAGUCUGACUCGGUAUUGGGCGCCGCGCAUCGCCGCGCGCCUCAAAGUCCCCGGCUGGGUGGGCCCGUCCCCGAGCGUUGUGGUUUCACAGUCUCGCUAGGGAGCACGCGCCCGCCGCAUCGGCCGCUAAACACCCCCAUCACAGGUUGACCUCGGAUCAGGUAGGGAUACCCGCUGAACUUAA
This 247-nucleotide unclassified non-coding RNA is filed under the name uncultured fungus. RNAcentral describes it as "partial contains 5.8S ribosomal RNA, internal transcribed spacer 2, and large subunit ribosomal RNA". The stretch from base 1 to 52 matches the Rfam family "5.8S ribosomal RNA", at positions 103 to 154 of the family's 154-position model. The record is from RNAcentral. Lineage: Eukaryota; Fungi.